UUUAGCCUCUAACAAAAUAGUUCUCUGACUACCUCUACCGGUUUUUCCUGAAGAUGCGCCCCAGGCGGUGUCAGCCUGAGAGCGAGAGAGAGAGAGAGAGAGAGAGAGAGAGAGAGAGAGACAACCCAUGCAGCCCAUUGGAUUAGACAUAACACUUUCUCUUUUUUAACUACUUAUCAAACAGUCUGGAGAAUUCUUAUUAUGCUUGUUCAUCAGGAUUUGCAUUAUAAUAGAAACUCUAAGCCUGGAUAGAGACACAUUUGUGUGCAGGACUCUCUCUCUCUCUCUCUCUCUGUCUCUAUCGCUCUCUCACUCUCACGGGUGGGUGUGUCUUCGUGUCUCAACACGGCAUGCUCCGGUUGACAGACAGCUGCACUCACCUCUUUUACCUGCCAGGUGAAACACGCAGCGAGGCUCCGUUCUCUGCAGCUCGGCCGUCCCUCUCUCUCAGGCCUCUUCGCGCCGCCGGUGUCGGGUCAGAUCUGCAGCAGUUCCAUUACCCGCGCAGCUGGAAACUUUGCCUGGGAAUUUCUGUGCUCAAAAAUUUCAGUCAUUGUUUCUGGUCGUGUGUGUCGUGUGCAUCCGAGACAAGGCCACCGUGGACACCUUUGGGUGGAUCUGAGCUGGUGGAUUGUUCUCAAGCUAAGCUGCAAAAAGAGGCGUCCAGUCAGAAACAUCACAAGGUCACAGAGAAUCUGAAAACAUCUGUUGAAGCAGCAGUGGAAACCUCAAGCUUCCUGCCAAAUACUGGUAGCGCUGUAUAAUGCUCCUUUCAAUAAAUCCUGUUUUUAUUUAUGGUUUUAUAAGUGAAGGUGGAUUCACAAGUGUCCUGUAGCUGCUUCUAGCAGCAGCAGCCGCUUUUUUGGUUAUGGAGAUGUGGCCUCCAGUACUACUGAGGGCAUGGCAGUGGUGUUGCCACAUGUAAAUGGAGCAUCACUAUGUCAGGUAUGCUGGCGAACCAGCUCCAACAGUCGACGAUGGGCGUAGCUGCACUUUCCUUUCAGAGUGGCAUGAUUAAUUAAAAACUGUGCAAGGCUGAUGAUCACAAGACAAUUGUGGUUGAGUGAACAGAAGGAGCAUAAUAAUCUGUAGACUCCAAAAACAAACCAGUUACAGAGUUACAGUAUACUGUAUGUGUGAUAAUAAAGUCCCAUUCAGAGACCGGA
Molecule: long non-coding RNA, 1166 nt
Organism: Betta splendens (Siamese fighting fish)
Lineage: Eukaryota; Metazoa; Chordata; Actinopteri; Anabantiformes; Osphronemidae
Exons: 2
Source: RefSeq, a predicted model, not a curated record